UACGUAGGGAGCAAGCGUUGUCCGGAAUCAUUGGGCGUAAAGAGCGCGUAGGCGGCUGUAUAAGUCCGUUGUGAAAGUCAAAGGCUCAACCUUUGAAAGCCGAUGGAUACUGUAGAGCUAGAGUACGGAAGAGGCGAGUGGAAUUCCUGGUGUAGCGGUGGAAUGCGCAGAUAUCAGGAGGAACACCAAUAGCGAAGGCAGCUCGCUGGGACGUUACUGACGCUGAGGCGCGAAAGCGUGGGGAGCGAACAGG
This 253-nucleotide ribosomal RNA is filed under the name uncultured bacterium. RNAcentral describes it as "partial 16S ribosomal RNA". It matches the Rfam family "Bacterial small subunit ribosomal RNA", at positions 524 to 776 of the family's 1533-position model. The record is from RNAcentral.